RNAcentral lists this ribosomal RNA (944 nucleotides) under uncultured fungus. RNAcentral's name for it is "eukaryotic LSU rRNA". The stretch from base 486 to 944 matches the Rfam family "Eukaryotic large subunit ribosomal RNA", at positions 1 to 457 of the family's 3401-position model. Lineage: Eukaryota; Fungi. The record is from RNAcentral.
ACUGUUUCCGUAGGUGACCUGCGGAAGGAUCAUUAACAAAUACAACUUAUGUUGAAACCCAUUCUGUGUAUCUUUACUUGUUGCUUCCCCGUUUACUCGGGGAAGGUCAUCAUAAACUCUGCUUUCUUUGAAGUCAGUCUGAAUUUGUUUAUCUAUAAACUUUAAAACUUUCAACAACGGAUCUCUUGGUUCUCGCAUCGAUGAAGAACGCAGCGAAAUGCGAUAAGUAGUGUGAAUUGCAGAAUUCAGUGAAUCAUCGAAUCUUUGAACGCACAUUGCGCCCUCUGGUAUUCCGGGGGGCAUGCCUGUUCGAGCGUCAUUAAAACUACUCAAGCUAAGGUUUACCUUCUGCUUGGUCUUGGAAUUGGAGGCUUAAGUCUCCUUUCCGAAAUAUAGUGGGCGAAUUUUUUGUGCCGUAAAUGUAAUAAAUCAUUGCCAUUGAAAGCAUGGAUAUAUUCUGCCAUAACCCCCUCUAUUUUCUAGUUUGACCUCGGAUCAGGUAGGGAUACCCGCUGAACUUAAGCAUAUCAAUAAGCGGAGGAAAAGAAACCAACAGGGAUUGCCUUAGUAACUGCGAGUGAAGCGGCAAAAGCUCAAAUUUGAAAUCUGGGGCCUCACAGCCUCCGAAUUGUAAUUUCGCGAUGCGUCUUUGACGGAUGGCCCUACUUUAAGUUCCUUGGAACAGGACGUCACAGAGGGUGAGAAUCCCGUGAUAGGUAGGGCCUGAAGCAUAUAAUACGUAUUCUACGAGUCGAGUUGUUUGGGAAUGCAGCUCAAAAUGGGUGGUAAAUUUCAUCUAAAGCUAAAUAUUGGCGAGAGACCGAUAGCGCACAAGUAGAGUGAUCGAAAGAUGAAAAGCACUUUGAAAAGAGAGUUAAAAAGUACGUGAAAUUGUUGAAAGGGAAGCGCUUGAGACCAGACUCCAUCUGUGGUGAUCAGCGGUG